RNAcentral lists this long non-coding RNA (1907 nucleotides) under Homo sapiens (human). RNAcentral's name for it is "HSALNT0148717". The record is from RNAcentral. Lineage: Eukaryota; Metazoa; Chordata; Mammalia; Primates; Hominidae.
UCUUGAUACCUAGACCAUCAGGAAAAUUAAGGAGCACUUCCAGAAAAGGAGUUAACUGGAAGAAAUGAGAACUAGAACAUCUGCAGAUGCCCUGGUCAACUGUGGAGGGCCAGGCUGGGAAGGAUGGCCAUUUUCAAAUGAGGACGUAGCUCCAUUCAUCAUUAGCUGAGAACUGGUAGAGUUUUCUGGGAUCUGUGAGCUCCUGACGGAAGUUACAACUGGCAUUUUGGGAGCUAUGCGGCGGUAGUAAGGAAAGUUACUGGCUCCUCCCCUUGGGGAACCUAUCAUUACCCUGGAGAAGGAGGAGUGGAGGCCCAAACCAGACCUGGAAAAGUCCAUCCCAAACUGUUCUCCUCCUUGGUAGCCUGAAGUCUGCACACACGGCAGGCCCAUCACCUCCUGCAUAGGCCUGACGAAGUGGGAGUCUGCAGGUUCACUAAAUGGGUUCUCUACAUGGGAGCCAGGGGCAGAGGAGGGCCCACCUGCAGGCCCAGCCUCUGGACUCAACAAAUAGGGGGCCUCACUCUCCAGCCUGCAGUCACUAGUGGUGUUUGGAAUAUUAUCAUCAUUGUUCUGAUUUGCAGUAAAGUUAUUUCCUCUGCUCUUGUUAAGAAAAUUCGAAAUACUAAAAGUGGACUUAUGCUCUAGGUUAUUUGUGACUUCCAAAAUAUGGAUAUCACCUACCCUGUCUGUGCUAGACUGGGGAUCUGAAAAACUCCGAUCACUGCUUUCAGGGCUGAGGUCUAUCUUCUCGGCACUGACCACAACUCCUUCCACUUCCACAGACUCGCUGCCUUCUGCUUGUGAGGUCACAUCGCUCACUUCAUCCUGAGGCUCAGGUGAGCUCAGGGGCUCAGAUUUAACCACCACUCUCAUGUGCUCCUUCUCACCAAGGCCAACCUCAGGGUUUUCACACUGAAAACUACUUUUCUCAGGUGCAGCUUCCUGAUCAAAACUAGUCUCAACCUGAGUUGCACGAGAGGCCAUGGACAACUGUGCCAUGUUGCCAGCACUGUUAUCAGACUGGCUGGGCACCUGGGCAUCUUCUUGAGUGCCAAAAGACUGAUCAAACAUGAUCGCACUAUCUUCCUGGUUAUCAGUCAUUCCAUCAGCUUUAGGAUUAUCCACAAUUUUCAGAGAAUCUGGUGAAAAGAACUCCUCCCGAGAAUGAACCCCUGAAGGCCCAUUCUCCGGUGUAACAUCUGAAAUGGCAGACUCAUCUAUGGAGGGUCGGAGGCGCUGCCUGGCCCGCUCCUCUGCAGACUGCUUGCGCUUAUGAAGGCGUCUCAUGGGGAAGGGCGUGCGCUGAUCCAGGUUACUGCGCAUGGAAGAGCUCAUGGGGGCUGGCUGCUCCUCGCCAUUCUGGCUGGAAUUGAGGGCUGAGCUCACGAUGCUUAGUCCCAGCUGCUGUAGCAUAAAGGAGCGCUGCAUGCGGGCGCUCUGCUCCUGAACGCGCUCACUGGGGGGAGACAUGGGCAGCGUCCUUGUCGUUAAGUAAUGUUUACAUGCCUUAACAACAGAGUUCAAAUGCAGGUGAGAGGCUGCCAAUAAGACAUCCAUUACAUUGCUCUCCCCCAGCAUGAGGGUGGAGGUAUACAUCAUGUCAAUCAGUGCAGCAAAGGCCUCUGCUGUCACCACCUCGCUAUCCAGCUGGAUCAUGUUCAUGGUCUGAUCUCCUUCUGCCACUGAGAACAGGGCUCGGAAAUGCGUGCUGCAUGCUGCCAGCACGGAGCGGUGGGCUUUAAAGUGUCUAUUCCCCACUACAAUGACACAAUCACAGAGCUGGCCAUGAAGUCUCUGGUAGUUCAGCUGCUGGAAGAUUUGUUCAAAGUGACCAGGAAAAUCCAUGAUCCUACAGAAAAACAAAGAAAGAAAAUGUUAAGACCUAGAAAAGCUUCAAAGUCAGA